UCCGGGCAAUCGCUGGCUUGACCAAAGCUAGAGGAAAGUCCAUGCUCGCACAAUCUGCGAUGAUUGUAGUGUUUGCGCCGGCCCAAUCAAUAAGACCGGGCAGCCGGCAGGCUGACGGCUGACGAAACCCUUAGGUCCCUUCGGGGAUGAUGGCGGACGUCUGUAACAGUGUCACAGUGACGGAGUUUCCGGGGAAACCCGGAAAGUGGAACGCGAUAAACCCCGCAAGCGAGAAACCCAAAUUUGGUAGGGGAACUUCCAAGCCUGAAAUGAAGGGUGAGGAAGCCGUCCGCAAGGACGGAGAUAAAUGGUUGCCGCCUGUUUCGGUAAGAAACAGGAACAGAACAUGGCUUACA
This 356-nucleotide RNase P RNA is filed under the name Holdemania massiliensis. RNAcentral's name for it is "Bacterial RNase P class B". It matches the Rfam family "Bacterial RNase P class B". From Rfam's summary of the family: Ribonuclease P (RNase P) is a ubiquitous endoribonuclease, found in archaea, bacteria and eukarya as well as chloroplasts and mitochondria. Lineage: Bacteria; Bacillati; Bacillota; Erysipelotrichia; Erysipelotrichales; Erysipelotrichaceae. The record is from RNAcentral.